GGACAGGUGGCAGAGCGGUUUAAUGCUCCGGUCUUGAAAACCGGCGAACCGGCAACGGUUCCGGGGGUUCGAAUCCCUCCCUGUCCG
Molecule: transfer RNA, 87 nt
Filed under: Gemmatimonadota bacterium
Lineage: Bacteria; Pseudomonadati; Gemmatimonadota
Description: tRNA-Ser
Rfam family: tRNA
About the family: Transfer RNA (tRNA) molecules are approximately 80 nucleotides in length. Their secondary structure includes four short double-helical elements and three loops (D, anti-codon, and T loops).
Source: RNAcentral